UACUCUUUAAUCUUAUGUGCG
This 21-nucleotide non-coding RNA is filed under the name Caenorhabditis elegans. The record is from RNAcentral. Lineage: Eukaryota; Metazoa; Nematoda; Chromadorea; Rhabditida; Rhabditidae.